RNAcentral lists this transfer RNA (72 nucleotides) under Ovis aries (sheep). It matches the Rfam family "tRNA". Rfam says of the family: Transfer RNA (tRNA) molecules are approximately 80 nucleotides in length. Their secondary structure includes four short double-helical elements and three loops (D, anti-codon, and T loops). Further hydrogen bonds mediate the characteristic L-shaped molecular structure. tRNAs have two regions of fundamental functional importance: the anti-codon, which is responsible for specific mRNA codon recognition, and the 3' end, to which the tRNAs corresponding amino acid is attached (by aminoacyl-tRNA synthetases). tRNAs cope with the degeneracy of the genetic code in two manners: having more than one tRNA (with a specific anti-codon) for a particular amino acid; and 'wobble' base-pairing, i.e. permitting non-standard base-pairing at the 3rd anti-codon position. Lineage: Eukaryota; Metazoa; Chordata; Mammalia; Artiodactyla; Bovidae. The record is from Rfam by way of RNAcentral.
UCCCUGGUGGUCCAGUGGCUAAGACUUUGAGCUCCCAAUGCAGAAGGCCCAGGUUUGAUCCCUGGCAGGGAA